Molecule: ribosomal RNA, 498 nt
Filed under: uncultured bacterium
Lineage: Bacteria
Description: partial 16S ribosomal RNA
Rfam family: Bacterial small subunit ribosomal RNA
Source: RNAcentral
GAUUAACGCUGGCGGCAUGCCUUACACAUGCAAGUCGAACGGUAACAGGUCUUCGGAUGCUGACGAGUGGCGAACGGGUGAGAAAUACAUCGGAACGUGCCUAGUAGUGGGGGAUAACUACUCGAAAGAGUGGCUAAUACCGCAUGAGAUCUACGGAUGAAAGCAGGGGAUCGCAAGACCUUGUGCUACUAGAGCGGCCGAUGGCAGAUUAGGUAGUUGGUGGGAUAAAAGCUUACCAAGCCGACGAUCUGUAGCUGGUCUGAGAGGACGAUCAGCCACACUGGGACUGAGACACGGCCCAGACUCCUACGGGAGGAAGCAGUGGGGAAUUUUGGACAAUGGGCGAAAGCCUGAUCCAGCAAUGCCGCGUGCAGGAUGAAGGCCUUCGGGUUGUAAACUGCUUUUGUACGGAACGAAAAGCCCCGGGUUAAUACCCUGGGGUCAUGACGGUACCGUAAGAAUAAGCGCCGGCUAACUACGUGCCAGCAGCCGCGGUAA